CUACUCUGGUUUCUCUUCAGAUCGUAUAAAUCUUUCGCCUUUUACUAAGGAUUGCUGUGGAGAGUUAAAAAGAAAAGUAAAACAAUAUUUUCUGUGCAGAAAACAAACUACAGUCUGCC
Sceloporus undulatus (fence lizard) is the source of this 119-nucleotide small nuclear RNA. RefSeq annotates it as U5 spliceosomal RNA. Lineage: Eukaryota; Metazoa; Chordata; Lepidosauria; Squamata; Phrynosomatidae. The record is from RefSeq and is a predicted model, not a curated record. The transcript has a single exon.